GUCAGGUGUGGUGGCGCAUGCUUGUAAUCCUAGAAGCUUGGGAGGCUGAAGCAGGAGGAUCUCAAGUUCAAAGCUAGUCUCAGCAAUUUAGUGAGGCCCUAAGCAACUCAGUGAGACCCUGUCUCUA
RNAcentral lists this small RNA (127 nucleotides) under Marmota monax (woodchuck). Lineage: Eukaryota; Metazoa; Chordata; Mammalia; Rodentia; Sciuridae. The record is from RNAcentral.